Molecule: small RNA, 698 nt
Filed under: Pan troglodytes (chimpanzee)
Lineage: Eukaryota; Metazoa; Chordata; Mammalia; Primates; Hominidae
Description: processed transcript
Source: RNAcentral
UUUUGGAUUUCGUUGUGAGUUGGGUAUGUGGGCAGGCAGAAGGGCCAUGUGAACAGGAUGUACCAGGAGGUAGUAACAGCUAGAUAGGGGACUGAGGUGCAGUUACUGGAUACUUCUGACCGUGUCCCUCACCUGCAUCAUGCCGAGGUUGAGCAUGAAUGUCUUCCCACUUAAGGAGAUGCCAGAAAUAAGUCUGCAGGAACAGUUAUUUUUAUCUUCCAUCACUAUCUGAGUCAAAGCACUGCUUAAGGAUACAACAUACAUUUUGUUUUUUAACUUGCUUUCAGGCUUAUGUACAUAAAAGCGUGAUGGAGGAACUGAAGAGAAUAAUUGACGACAGUGAAAUUACCAAAGAGGAUGAUGCAUUGUGGCCUCCUCCUGACCGAGUGGGCCGGCAGGAGCUUGAAAUCGUCAUUGGAGAUGAACACAUUUCUUUUACAACAUCAAAAAUUGGUUCCCUUAUUGAUGUCAAUCAAUCCAAGGAUCCAGAAGGCUUACGAGUAUUUUAUUAUCUUGUCCAGGACCUGAAGUGUUUGGUCUUCAGUCUUAUUGGAUUACACUUCAAGAUUAAACCAAUCUAGAUUGAAUAUUGGUGUGGACAUGGGGGGGGGUGGGUGGGAGUAGAAAAUUUUGUGUAUAUCAGGGCAGUAUUUUUUUAUGAACUAUAAAUGAUUGUCUUUAAUAAAUAUGUGAUAAAA